RNAcentral lists this ribosomal RNA (440 nucleotides) under uncultured bacterium. RNAcentral's name for it is "partial 16S ribosomal RNA". It matches the Rfam family "Bacterial small subunit ribosomal RNA", at positions 338 to 795 of the family's 1533-position model. The record is from RNAcentral.
CCUACGGGAGGCAGCAGUAGGGAAUAUUGCUCAAUGGGGGAAACCCUGAAGCAGCAACGCCGCGUGGAGGAUGAAGGCUUUCGGAUUGUAAACUCCUUUUGUUAGAGAAGAUAAUGACGGUAUCUAACGAAUAAGCACCGGCUAACUCCGUUCCAGCAGCCGCGGUAAUAUGGAGGGUGCAAGCGUUACUCGGAAUCACUGGGCGUAAAGAGCGCGUAGGCGGGUUAGCAAGUCAGAUGUGAAAUCCUAUGGCUUAACCAUAGAACUGCAUUUGAAACUGUUAUUCUAGAGUAUGGGAGAGGUAGGUGGAAUUCUUGGUGUAGCGGUGAAAUGCGUAGAGAUCAAGAAGAAUACUCAUUGCGAAGGCGGCCUGCUAGAACAUAACUGACGCUGAUGCGCGAAAGCGUGGGGAGCAAACAGGAUUAGAUACCCGUGUAGUC